RNAcentral lists this ribosomal RNA (677 nucleotides) under Pseudovibrio sp. AU333_Ted3_MB. Its description in RNAcentral is "bacterial SSU rRNA". It matches the Rfam family "Bacterial small subunit ribosomal RNA", at positions 66 to 789 of the family's 1533-position model. Lineage: Bacteria; Pseudomonadati; Pseudomonadota; Alphaproteobacteria; Hyphomicrobiales; Stappiaceae. The record is from RNAcentral.
ACGGAUCCUUCGGGAUUAGUGGCAGACGGGUGAGUAACGCGUGGGAAGCUACCUUGUGGUAGGGGACAACAGUUUGAAAAGACUGCUAAUACCCUAUGAGCCCUAUGGGGGAAAGAUUUAUCGCCAUGAGAUGUGCCCGCGUUAGAUUAGCUAGUUGGUAAGGUAAUGGCUUACCAAGGCGACGAUCUAUAGCUGGUCUGAGAGGAUGAUCAGCCACACUGGGACUGAGACACGGCCCAGACUCCUACGGGAGGCAGCAGUGGGGAAUAUUGGACAAUGGGGGCAACCCUGAUCCAGCCAUGCCGCGUGUGUGAUGACGGCCUUAGGGUUGUAAAGCACUUUCAGCAGUGAAGAUAAUGACAUUAACUGCAGAAGAAGCCCCGGCUAACUUCGUGCCAGCAGCCGCGGUAAUACGAAGGGGGCUAGCGUUGUUCGGAAUCACUGGGCGUAAAGAGUACGUAGGCGGACUGAUAAGUUAGGGGUGAAAUCCCAAGGCUCAACCUUGGAACUGCCUUUGAUACUGUCAGUCUUGAGAUCGAGAGAGGUGAGUGGAACUCCGAGUGUAGAGGUGAAAUUCGUAGAUAUUCGGAAGAACACCAGUGGCGAAGGCGGCUCACUGGCUCGAUACUGACGCUGAGGUACGAAAGCGUGGGGAGCAAACAGGAUUAGAUACCCUG